Molecule: long non-coding RNA, 5953 nt
Organism: Oxyura jamaicensis (ruddy duck)
Lineage: Eukaryota; Metazoa; Chordata; Aves; Anseriformes; Anatidae
Exons: 8
Source: RefSeq, a predicted model, not a curated record
CAGAGCAGUGCAGGCUGCAGUGUGCAGCGUGGGAGAGAGUGGAGAAAACAAGCUGGAAAAAAACGUGUUUCUGGUAAUGCUGCAGUGCAGAGGAGUUGUGCAGAGACGGGGGAGGGAAUGCAGGAAGCUUCGUGUAAUGAUGCAGUGCUGAGCAAGGAAGAGGGAAAGCUGGGCUGCAGAUCCUUGAGCUCAGGAAUUAGAAUUGGUUCCUCAAAACCAGGAGGGACCGAUAUAAGAUGGGUGACACAACACAGGAGUGACAUGAAGCAAACCAUUUGCCCUGUAACACCCCAGCCUGGGCACUGAAGAGUCACUUGAGCACGAUGUCUGCAAACUCAACCACCUUCCCAUUGCUACGCUUCCUGAAUCCUGAAUAAAGGAGAGAAAAACAUGGUGGCUCUGUAGGAUUGCUCACUCUGAAGACUAAGAUAAACUUGGCCUGCAUUACAGCAUCCAUCCUUUGGGUAUACUGGAGAAAUCACUCCAGCUCUCUUCAGCACCCUGGGCAGCACGUGGACUUCUAAUUGUAGAGAGUGGUACAGCGCACCCAGUGCAGGAUCUUGGUGGCACCCACAGAAAGAGAAGCCAGAAAACAUUGCUACGGACCUCAGACCGCCCUGUGUGUCCUCACACGGCUGUUGCAACAACUAACACACGUUCCUGGUGCUGAGCCAAGGCUGCAUCAUUAAACGGCGUUCAUCAUGCAGACAGGGUGUGUGCAGCCUUGUUCUCCUGAGACAGAGGUGGGCUGCAGCCCAGGAGCGUGGCCGUGAGAAGGCUCUGUGCAGAGACAACCUGGGAGCGAAAUCUUGGACCGGCCCCUAGGAGUCAAGUUUACAAGAAAUGAAAUAUUAAUAUAUUUAGAAGAGAAAAAUCGAUCUGAUCUGUACAAAAUAUCGUGACUGCAAGGGCUGGGGUUUUUCAGAAUACCAGGAAAUGCCAUGGAAGUCCCUCCAAAGUUGGAAGCAGCCACAGCGAGUUGGCACACGAGCGGUCCUGAGCUCACACACAGCACCUCGAGGGAUCCAUUCCCCUGGGGAGGAAGCAAAGGGAGGAGGACAAAGAUUGCAGCGUUAAGAUCAUGCUGUUGCUAUGCUGCCUACCCGCCCGUCAGCGCAUCUCUUCGCCAUCCUCCCACGGACACUCGUCUGACUCCUGCCCCUGCAGCUGGUGCAUGCCAGGCGUCUCCUGACCUGGGCUGGCUUUUGCCUGCAGUUCUCCUGCAGGUGGAGAGGAAAUGCGUUGGCAUUUCCUGCAACAGCCUUCUUGAGGUUGGAAGUAUUAAAUCACAGAAAAUUUUUGAGGGAUCGUGGCAAAGCUGGUCCGUGACAAUGUGACAAGGAAAUUCAAUCAGAGGGCAGGGGAGAUUAUAGGAUAGACUAGACUGAGCCUAGGAUGCAAGCAGCUGCUUACUGGAAAGAGACACCGUGAACAAGAGCAUCUGAAGACUUGACACCGCAGGAGGGCUGUGCAUCCAGUGUGUCUCUGUGAAGCUUUAUUCUCAGCCACGGGACACAUUCAGCCCCACGUAUCAUCCCUCCGCUGCCCAGAGACCACAUCAGCCACCAUCAGCUUCAACAGAGGGAAGGAGAGCCACUGGACACCAAACAGCAGCAGGUGGGGAUGGAGGAAUAAAGAUGUUGAAAAGGACUGUUGACAUCCCGAGACCAGCUUGUCUUUGCAGACAGGAGACCUUUUUAGUUGGACUGCUUUCAUACAGGGAGCGGUUUGAAGGUCGUGUACAAGAAAAGAGAAGUUUGGCAGGGAACAGAAAGCUGUGUAGAGGUGAGAUGAAAUCAGGAAUGCUUGGCACACGGAGAGGUGUGGAAGGGUCUGGGGACAGAGGAAGGUUCGGAGAAGGGGUAGGGCGAAGGGGGAGAGGAAAGGGUUGUUAAUGCCAAGAGUGCAUCCUGAAAGGAGCGCAGCAGUCAAAAUUUGGCUUUCCCACUAACCCGGCUGUGUGAGCAGAGGGUAUGCAGAGUUCCUCACUCUCGGCUCUCUGUGGAGCAGGCAGGAGGCACUCUACACACCAUGGCCUUUUGUUAUGGACUUAAUGCUAAAGUUGGCUGAAGCUAAACUAUUUUCAUUAUAACAGCCUGUGAAUUCAUUUCCCUGCAUUUCAGCCCAAUCCAUUUUUUUCUGCUUGACAUUAAGGAAGCUCUGCUGAAGCAGGCAAUCCAGUAGAGAGUGAUAACAGGAUUGGAAAGGAGAGGCGGUCGCCCAAGGUCAGCAGAAGCCUUUGGCUGCCAGUGCCAGGGUGGCCCAGCAAAGGUCACCACAGACGGGCAGAGACGUCUGUUUUGCAAAAGGCUGCUCAGCACACGCAGCGGGCUGGGCCCGAGUAGUUGGGGGGAUUCAGGGAUGCACCUGGCACCCAGAGAGGCAAGGGAUGCUGAUGUCUGCACUUGGUCAGGAGGAGACAAAGCUCAGCAAAGAAGACAAUGCAGCUGUGACUGUCAUGUUGGCUUUGCUUCAUUUACGGUGCCUGUUAAUUACACGAGGCUUGUGUUGGGAACAGCUGGCAAGUUCCCUCCUUCUGUCCCACUUCUGCAUGCACUGGGUCAGUUUUGUGCUUCUUGGGAUUUCAGUGCCAGGACUGGGAGGGAUUUGUUAACUGACUCUUUGCCUCAAAGGUGACCUAAGUCAGACCCAGGAGGUCCACGGAGCUGGAUGCCAGUCAGCUGGUCCUGACCUCUCUACUUCAUUCCUCUCUUUGUGUGUCUGGGCACCAGUUCUCAUUCUGCUUCUGGUUGUGCCACUCCCCAGUUUUAAACUGAGCUGUGAAACAAUUUCAUCUCAAACCGUACAAGCUGACCAAAGGAAAAGAAGGAAAAAAAUAAUUUCAGAUAUGGCUGCUACAAACCUAGAUCCUCCACAUUGUAUAUAGUUUAGUGGUUUUGCCUUUUAAAGGGUUGGAAUUGCUAGAGCCGGGGGGAGGGGAACAAUUCAGAAGUUUAAGGCACAGAACUUCUGUUACUCCCUCUAACUCAGGAUUGGUUAUAUUUGUUAGGCAGUGGUGCAUUAGUUACAGAGGACUCACUCUCAGAAAAUGUCUACACAGCUGUUUUCAGACAUAACUCUUGGGAUUAAAAAAAAAUUUAAAUAAAGUUUGCUGAAGACUUUGAAUACAGCCUGAAUCUUAUUGUAUAAAGGCUUGCAUUCCCCCACCUGAGAACAAAAUCUAGUCUGGAAGUGCUGUUCUUGAACAAAAAUGACAAGCCUUGUGACAGCACAUCUCCUUCACAAGGGAAGUUAGCAGAAGUCCUGCCAGUUUGCUAUUCUAGCAAAAUGAGCAGAAAUCUGCCUGAAGAAAUCCAGGAAAAAAUGGGUAUAGUAAUACCUUGCAUUAAGAAGAGUUUUGGAUGAACGUGGCCACUGACUGAAAAGAAAACAGCCAUAGGACUGUCCUCUAUUGACACAAAGCCACAUCCAGUAGUUCCUGGUGUCAGCCAAGGUGUCUUUAAGCUUGCUAGUGAUGCUGUGGGUCAAAGCCUUCUCCUAAAAUUGCAGAAAGCAGCUGGACACCAAAAUGCUGAGGGCUGGACACUGCUGUAGCAAGGAUGCGACAAGAGAGGCACCAGCCCCAGCAGCCUGGGGCAGGAGGAGAUGUCAGAGGAGAACAGCCCUGCCAGAGCACCCCCAGCUCUGCUGCUGCCAUUUCACCCUGCAAGUGGGGCUGCAGGCCCACAGAGGGGGCUGGAAGGAGCCUGAGGAGUGUGAGGGGUGUCCUGUGACCCAAAAUAUCUCCUGUAGCUCUGACUAUGGCAGUCGGACUGGCUGAUGCAAGUUAGCUGUCCACUCUCUCACCUGGCUAUAUUAACCCCUCAGGAGUUCAAAAUCUCAUAUAGAUUCAGAAAUUUGGAAGCUCAGGCUGUUCUCAUCAAAGCUUUCAAUGUUAUUAUCUCUGCUACUCAGAGGUAGAUUCCAAACACCCUCAGGAAUUCACUUUUAAUAAAUGGUUGUGGGGCGAAGAGGUGGUGAGCAUCCAGCACGGCCCCUGUUAUUAUGCUUUCCCCUUGCUCAGUGCAGCUCUUGCUCAAAUAUUGGAGCCAUAGGGGGCUGCUGGUGGUGAUGGGGAGCUUAUUACAGUUCAUUUCUCAUCCAAAUUAAAAUCAGCACAUUUGGUUCAACUUGCUGUGCUGACUGAGCGCUUUUGCUGGAGCAGAGUAAGACUAGUGGUCCUUGGCAGGGACAAAUAUGGGAGGUGGACACUGGAGACUCACUACCUGAGAAGAUAGAGGAUCACUGAUUGCAGAAUUAAAGCUAGCACAAAUUACCCCCUCCUGUUCCCACUGAAGUCAAUAGUCAGCUUGGAAAGCAACAGGACUGCCUUCAGACUGCAGGCUUGUGAGGAUGUGGUGUAGCGAGUGCCAUCUACAUCUGGAGAAGGCUGAAGCAGAAAAAACUACUAGUCCUAAGUCAGUUGGCAAUAGGCACAGCCACCUGAGUGCCACAGCUCGGCUGGAUGGCUGAAAUGUUAGUCAAACCACUUCUCUCCUGGCAGCACGCCUCCCCUGAGGCCUGGGCUGCUCUAAGGGUCCACUGGCCCCCCUCGGAUGUGUUGUACGAGAAGCAGCAGUGGCACCCAGCUGUCUGCCCCAGGCACAGGUCCCUUUCGGUGGACAACAGCAGCAGCUGAAGGCAGUUUCUUCGCUGCGGCAGGAUCUGGCCUCUCCAGGCGAUGCAAGGAGAAGGUGGGAGGAAGCCGGGCGGUAAAGCCCUGAUCUGAGUCAUUUGAGUGACUUGCAGAAUUCAUUUGACUAAGCAGCUGAAGGCGCUCGGAGAGUUUUCUUCUUGUUGGUUUUUCUCCCAGCUCUGCUAUCCGUAACAAAGAUUUCCCAUGUUUCACCUGCCCAGCCUUUCAAAUCAUACAUGCGACGCGCACGCGCACACACACAGGCUGACGUUUUCAACAUCUUAACCCUAUCUCCCAUGAGCAUCCUCAGCUGUCAGUACCCAGGUAAAUUUAACUUGCCUGUGUCCUUGACCGCGCCAAGGAGUGAGAUGCAAAUGGCCCAUGUGGCUUAUUCCCAAGUCAGAAUACGGCCUCAGCCUCUUCAGUGGGAACAAGUCAGUAGAGGGGCUCCUCUUCACUGCUGUUCAGAAAUCUGAAUUACAUAUGCUUCCCUUUGAAAUCUCCUUUCACCUGGGAGUAGAGCUGUGGGCUCCAAGGUUUAUUGUAUAUUUUACUAUUUUAUUCCAAUUCUUUCUUUCUUGUCUUCAAAAGGUGCUUCUCACAAUGCAGGGGGAGGAUCUAUUUCUUAGUUUAAGAGGGAAAAAAGUAAAUGUGGAACAAUACUUGACAAAAUAAGCCUAUAAGGGAAAAUCUUCCUGCAGUUUUACUUUUUAUUGCAAGUUAUUAUGUACACCUCCAGCUCUGACAUUAUUUUAUAAUCCAAAAUAUUGCCACUCAGUUAAAAAAAAAAAAAAAAAAAAAAGUUAAUACAAAUAUGUUAGUACCUCUUUGCCUGGCUUAAUAAUGGACACCUUAGGUAGGGUUCUCCAUAAGGUCUAAGCAGCUGGUGUCCCUGCUGAGUUCUACAGCUACUCUUGUCCCCUGCUCCGCUCAGAUCUAUAUGCUGCAGCACCUACUUAGCCAAGAGCCAGAGAUCCCAGCUGAGGGGGCAUUUUAAGCCUAUGAAGCUAUUUAUUGUCAUCUAUAUACAGCUUCUGACAUCAAUUUAAUUUCCUGUUUUUAUUGACCCAUUUCACGCUUCUGAAGUCGAUUUGCAAAGCCCAUUAGGGACAGCUGUGCUCCCAUGUCCUGCCUAAAUGUCCAUGCUAAAUGUCCAUGGUGCUCCCAAAGAGCACAACCAGAGUCAUCACCAGGGCUCCAGCUUAGGGCACCGGCUGCAGCACACCUUGUCCUCAGAGCCCAGCAGUGGGCAGCCUUGGGGACAGGCAGUGGCAGGGAUGAGGGGGAAGGACCGGGACAGACCCAAGAAAAAGGAAG